CACGUAUUUAGCCAGGGCUUCCUCCUAUGAUACCGUCAUUAUCUUCUCAUAGGACAGAGCUUUACGACUCGAAAGCCUUCUUCGCUCACGCGGCGUCGCUGCAUCAGGGUUUCCCCCAUUGUGCAAUAUUCCCCACUGCUGCCUCCCGUAGGAGUUUGGACCGUGUCUCAGUUCCAAUGUGGCCGUUCAUCCUCUCAGACCGGCUACUGAUCGUCGCCUUGGUAGGCCUUUACCCCACCAACUAGCUAAUCAGACGCGAGCCCAUCUUACACCGGUAUCCCUUUUACCCUUUUACCAUGCGGUAUUGUGGUCUUAUGGGGUAUUAAUCACCGUUUCCAAUGGCUAUCCCCCUGUGUAAGGCAGGUUGCUCACGUGUUACUCACCCGUUCGCCACUUUCAUUACCUUUCAUUCGUCCGAAAACUCAUUCAAAGUAACUCUCGUUCGACUUGCAUGUGUUAAGCACGCCGCCAGCGUUCGUCCUGUAGCCAGGAUCAAACUCU
RNAcentral lists this ribosomal RNA (501 nucleotides) under uncultured Parvimonas sp. RNAcentral's name for it is "partial 16S ribosomal RNA". Lineage: Bacteria; Bacillati; Bacillota; Tissierellia; Tissierellales; Peptoniphilaceae. The record is from RNAcentral.